This 518-nucleotide ribosomal RNA is filed under the name uncultured Actinomycetes bacterium. RNAcentral describes it as "bacterial SSU rRNA". It matches the Rfam family "Bacterial small subunit ribosomal RNA", at positions 367 to 896 of the family's 1533-position model. Lineage: Bacteria; Bacillati; Actinomycetota; Actinomycetes. The record is from RNAcentral.
CGAAUGGGCGAAAGCCUGACGCAGCGACGCCGCGUGAGGGACGACGGCCUUCGGGUUGUAAACCUCUUUCAGCAGGGACGAAGCGAAAGUGACGGUACCUGCAGAAGAAGCACCGGCCAACUACGUGCCAGCAGCCGCGGUAAUACGUAGGGUGCAAGCGUUGUCCGGAAUUAUUGGGCGUAAAGAGCUCGUAGGCGGUCUGUCGCGUCGGAUGUGAAAACUCGGGGCUCAACCCCGAGCCUGCAUUCGAUACGGGCAGACUUGAGUUCGGCAGGGGAGACUGGAAUUCCUGGUGUAGCGGUGAAAUGCGCAGAUAUCAGGAGGAACACCGGUGGCGAAGGCGGGUCUCUGGGCCGAUACUGACGCUGAGGAGCGAAAGCGUGGGGAGCGAACAGAAUUAGAUACCCUGGUAGUCCACGCCGUAAACGGUGGGUGCUAGGUGUGGGGAACUUUCCACGUUCUCCGUGCCGCAGCUAACGCAUUAAGCACCCCGCCUGGGGAGUACGGCCGCAGGGCUA